CCUACGGGAGGCAGCAGUGAGGAAUAUUGGUCCAUGGACGAGAGUCUGAACCAGCCAAGUAGCGUGAAGGAUGACUGCCCUAUGGGUUGUAAACUUCUUUUAUAUGGGAAUAAAAUGUUCCACGUGUGGGCUUUUGUAUGUACCUUAUGAAUAAGGAUCGGCUAACUCCGUGCCAGCAGCCGCGGUAAUACGGAGGAUCCGAGCGUUAUCCGGAUUUAUUGGGUUUAAAGGGAGCGUAGGUGGAUUGUUAAGUCAGCGGUAAAAUUGCGGGGCUCAACCCCGUCGAGCCGUUGAAACGGGCAGACGUGAGUUGGCGAGAAGUACGCGGAAUGCGCGGUGUAGCGGUGAAAUGCAUAGAGAUCGCGCAGAACUCCGAUUGCGAAGGCAGCGUACCGGCGCCAGACUGACGCUGAGGCACGAAAGCGUGGGGAUCGAACAGGAUUAGAUACCCUAGUAGUC
Molecule: ribosomal RNA, 459 nt
Filed under: uncultured bacterium
Lineage: Bacteria
Description: partial 16S ribosomal RNA
Rfam family: Bacterial small subunit ribosomal RNA
Source: RNAcentral